GGUGGCUCAGUGGUUGAGCACUUGCCUUGCAUGCAUGAGGCCCUGGGUUCAAUUCCUCAGCACCA
Non-coding RNA from Dipodomys ordii (Ord's kangaroo rat), 65 nucleotides. The record is from Rfam. NCBI's taxonomy places the organism in Eukaryota, Metazoa, Chordata, Mammalia, Rodentia, Heteromyidae.